AUUAUAGUGCCAAAAGUAUCAUUCUGACACCGAGCUUGCUCGAGUGGGAGAAUGAUACUUGGGGCACGCCCUACAUGAGCAAGAAGUGGGGGAGGGGCCCCACGAAUUGCGAAUGUAGGACAGGAUUGUGGGAGUGCGUAAGCACGGAACAAUCCGUAA
RNAcentral lists this small RNA (159 nucleotides) under bovine gut metagenome. RNAcentral's name for it is "Clostridiales-1 RNA". It matches the Rfam family "Clostridiales-1 RNA". The record is from RNAcentral.